Molecule: long non-coding RNA, 473 nt
Filed under: Homo sapiens (human)
Lineage: Eukaryota; Metazoa; Chordata; Mammalia; Primates; Hominidae
Description: non-protein coding lnc-CCDC157-3:1
Source: RNAcentral
GAAAUAAGAGCCAAGGCUGCGAAUGGGGUACCAGGGAGGAAGACGGGGCCGUGGGUCAUUUCCUACUGUUGCUACCAUGCCAAUCCUAUGGUGCGGGGAGAGGAGGUGCCUGCAAUUAGAUAUGCUAACACCAGGUGAUGGCAGGGUCCCACAUCCCUGGUGACAACACAGGCAUUCCUGAGGUUUGCCAUGGAAUUCCAGACCCUCAUAACUAUCUUCUGAAUCAAAAUGGAACCCUAUAGGCGGGCACGCUGGCUCACACCUGUAAUCCCAGCACUCUGGGGAGCCGAGAAGGGCAGAUCACUUAAGGUCAGGAGUUCGAGACCAGCCUGGCCAACAUGGUGAAACCCCGUCUCUACUAAAAAUACAAAAAAUUAGCCAGGCAUGGUGGUGGGCGCCUGUAAUCCUAGCUACUUGGGAGGCUGAGGCACGAGAAUCGCUUGAACCCAGGAGGUGGAGGUUGCAGUAAGCUA